This 30-nucleotide non-coding RNA is filed under the name Homo sapiens (human). Lineage: Eukaryota; Metazoa; Chordata; Mammalia; Primates; Hominidae. The record is from RNAcentral.
GGGAGGCUGAGACGGGAGAAUGGUGUGAAC